Molecule: ribosomal RNA, 489 nt
Filed under: uncultured bacterium
Lineage: Bacteria
Description: bacterial SSU rRNA
Rfam family: Bacterial small subunit ribosomal RNA
Source: RNAcentral
GACGAACGCUGGCGGCGUGCUUAACACAUGCAAGUCGAACGGUGACGAGGAGCUUGCUCCUCUGAUCAGUGGCGAACGGGUGAGUAACACGUGAGCAACCUGCCCCAGACUCUGGGAUAACAGUUGGAAACAGCUGCUAAUACCGGAUACGAGACGGAGAGGCAUCUCUACCGUCUAGAAAGUUUUUCGGUCUGGGAUGGACUCGCGGCCUAUCAGCUAGUUGGUGAGGUAAUGGCUCACCAAGGCGACGACGGGUAGCCGGCCUGAGAGGGCGACCGGCCAACGACUGGGACUGAGACACGGCCCAGACUCCUACGGGAGGCAGCAGUGGGGAAUAUUGCACAAUGGGCGAAAGCCUGAUGCAGCGACGCCGCGUGAGGGAUGAAGGCCUCGGUGUAACUACUUCUGCAGGAAGAAGCGAAAGUGACGGUACCUGCAGAAGAAGACACCGGCUAACUAACGUGCCAGCAGCCGCGGUAAAACGGUCUA